UACGGAGGGUGCGAGCGUUGCCCGGAAGUAUUGGGCGUAAAGAGCUCGUAGGCGGUGUGUCACGUCGGCCGUGAAAACCUGCAGCUUAACUGUGGGCGUGCGGUCGAUACGGGCAUCACUGGAGUUCGGAAGAGGCGAGUGGAAUUCCCGGUGUAGCGGUGAAAUGCGCAGAUAUCGGGAGGAACACCUAUGGCGAAGGCAGCUCGCUGGGACGUUACUGACGCUGAGACGCGAAAGCGUGGGGAGCAAACAGG
Molecule: ribosomal RNA, 254 nt
Filed under: uncultured bacterium
Lineage: Bacteria
Description: partial 16S ribosomal RNA
Rfam family: Bacterial small subunit ribosomal RNA
Source: RNAcentral